This 723-nucleotide long non-coding RNA is filed under the name Homo sapiens (human). Its description in RNAcentral is "non-protein coding AFDN-DT:20". The record is from RNAcentral. Lineage: Eukaryota; Metazoa; Chordata; Mammalia; Primates; Hominidae.
AUGGGCGCUGCUGGGUCCGAUGGGCGGUGCUGCGUUCGGUCCGGACGGGCGGGGACGGGCGGUGCUGGGUCCAAACGGGCGGUGCUGGGUCCAGACGGGCGGUGGGUCCGAUGGGCGGUGCUAGGUUCGGUUCGGAUGGGUGGUGCUAGGUCUAAAUGGGCGGCGCCGGAUCCGAUGGGCGGUGCUGGGUUCGGUCCGGACUGGCGGGUCCGGGUCUGGACGGGCGGUGCUGGAUCCAAAUGGGGGUGCAGUGCUGGAUCUGGACGGGCGGUGCUGGGUCCGAACGGGCGAUGGGUCCCAUGGGCGGUGCUAGGUUCGGUUCGGACUGGCGGUGCUGGGUCUAAAUGGGCGGCGCUGGGUCCGAUGGGUGGUACUGGGUCCGGACGGGCGGUUCUGGGUCUGGACGGGCGGUGCAGUAUCCAAAUGGGCGCUGCUGGGUCCGGACGGGCGGUGCUAGGUUCGGUCCGGACGGGUGGUGCUGGGUCUAAAUGGGCGGUGCUAGGCUCAGCAGGGGACCGGUGGGCGUGGCGGCACAGGUACGGAGCGCAGGGCCGGUGGAGCGCCCUCUCCGAAGGGCCCUGCGCUCCCCGCGCUCGCUGCUCCUCCUGCCCGCGCAUUGCCCCGGGGCUGCUGCGUGUUUCUUCCAGGGUGAUUCCUUUCCGCUGGGUCACUUCAAAGCCGACCUUUUCAAGCUGUUUUCUUCCGCGGAGGACACGUUGUUAG